RNAcentral lists this ribosomal RNA (196 nucleotides) under uncultured bacterium. Its description in RNAcentral is "partial 16S ribosomal RNA". It matches the Rfam family "Bacterial small subunit ribosomal RNA", at positions 326 to 539 of the family's 1533-position model. The record is from RNAcentral.
ACGCUCGACACCUACGGGACAGCAGUGGGGAAUAUUGCACAAUGGGGGAAACCCUGAUGCAGCGACGCCGCGUGAAGGAAGAAGUAUUUCGGUAUGUAAACUUCUAUCAGCAGGGAAGAAAAUGACGGUACCUGAGUAAGAAGCACCGGCUAAAUACGUGCUAGCAGCCGCGGUAAUCUGAGCGGGCUGGCAAGGC